RNAcentral lists this unclassified non-coding RNA (240 nucleotides) under soil metagenome. RNAcentral describes it as "partial contains 5.8S ribosomal RNA, internal transcribed spacer 2, and large subunit ribosomal RNA". The record is from RNAcentral.
AAGACUAUAGACCUGCGGAGUACCUGCGGAAGGAUCAUUAUUGAAUAAUCUUGCCUUGAUAGGUUGUAGCUGGCCUCUUGAGGCAUGUGCACACCCGUCUUGACACUAUUCAUCCACCUGUGCAUUUAUUGUAGUUCUUUGUUUCUAAUGGGUCAAGGAAAGUAAGGCUUUUUAUUCAGUUGAGAUACACUGGUUUUGAAGAUUGCCUCUUUGGCUAUCUUCUUUCUAGCCUAAUGGAAU